GCUGGACAUCUCGUGGAUGGAGGUGCACUGCGUGACGGCUGCAGAGGAUUCACCGUCUAGGGAGAGGCAGCUGCAGGAAAUAUGUCUCCAGGCUCACCUCUGUGAGCUCCUCAUUCCUAUUCUUGUGAAUGGGGAUUGACCAGUUAUAUAGUUCUUUCACUUGUGCAACUCUAUGUGAUUCUUGCAGAUCGAGGUUAUGAUGAUUGGCAUAAUUAGCCAUGGAACUUUUAUCUACCACUGCUAAAAAAAGGCGUGGAGCUAAGUUAUGCUUUCUCUAUCACUUAUUUAAUUACUGAAUCACUGAAUUCUAUCUGUAGUCAUUUUACAGCUUGGAUAGUAGUUUUCAUCUUGAGUCAUCUGCAGCUCAUCUGGCUCUGUUUGCAGUUAAAUUUAUGUACAAUCCGAGGCUGUGGCCCUGUGAUGUGCUUCACGCGAACUUCCUCCACCUAUGAAACUGCUUCAAUGCAUAAAAGUCUACUAUACGAGUGCCUGAUGGCGAGAAGGCGGGCUUCCAGCUGAUAUUAGUUGCAUGAUAAGCAAGCAUGAUCGACCCACAGAUAAUCAUGUAAGGCAUUUUCUUCAGACAAGAAAUUCCAUGUUACUACGGACCAACAACUCCUAUGAAUUAUAAGGAAGUGUUGGUAGGCUCCUUUUUUGAAAUUAACUUGUUUCCUGCAAGAUUUAUUAUUCAUUUCAUUAUGUGACUUCAGCAUGCCACUUUGUAUUUACUUAUCCAUCAUUUGUGGUCCUCGAUUCUUUCUGCAACUUAUUGCGCUAUUAUUUAUCUGGCUGUUGGCUUCGUGUAUUCUGGUUAGUUAUGGUAGCCU
Molecule: long non-coding RNA, 827 nt
Organism: Lolium rigidum
Lineage: Eukaryota; Viridiplantae; Streptophyta; Magnoliopsida; Poales; Poaceae
Exons: 3
Source: RefSeq, a predicted model, not a curated record